AUAGUACUCCCUCCGUCCGGAAAUACUUGUCGGUGAAAUGCAUAAAAAUGGAUGUAUCUAGAACUAAAGUACGUCUAGAUACAUCCAUUCCUCCGACAGGUAUUUCCGGACGGAGGGAGUAUAUU
Molecule: non-coding RNA, 125 nt
Organism: Triticum aestivum (bread wheat)
Lineage: Eukaryota; Viridiplantae; Streptophyta; Magnoliopsida; Poales; Poaceae
Source: Rfam